UACGUAGGCAGCGAGCGUUGUUCGGAAUUACUGGGCGUAAAGAGUGUGUAGGCGGUGUCCCCAGUCUGUUGUGAAAUCUCCCGGCUUAACUGGGAGGGUGCAGCGGAAACUAGAAUGCUAGAGGGUGGGAGAGGUAAGCGGAAUUCCUGGUGUAGCGGUGAAAUGCGUAGAUAUCAGGAGGAACACCUGUGGUGUAGACAGCUUACUGGACCACUCCUGACGCUGAGACACGAAAGCGUGGGUAGCAAACAGG
This 253-nucleotide ribosomal RNA is filed under the name uncultured bacterium. Its description in RNAcentral is "partial 16S ribosomal RNA". It matches the Rfam family "Bacterial small subunit ribosomal RNA", at positions 524 to 776 of the family's 1533-position model. The record is from RNAcentral.